Molecule: long non-coding RNA, 3067 nt
Organism: Hylaeus anthracinus
Lineage: Eukaryota; Metazoa; Arthropoda; Insecta; Hymenoptera; Colletidae
Exons: 6
Source: RefSeq, a predicted model, not a curated record
UUUAGCAAUUGUGCAAACUUUUAUUUGAACUUAAAAAGCGGAAAUCAGAUUGAUUAUCGUUUGGGUAAAUACUACAAUUUAAAAGUAGAUGGCCUUCUAUUGAAUGCAAUUUUAGAUAACUAUCGUUUGCCAAAGUGGAUAUACAUGUAGACGUUUAUUUGUCGUUUUCGCUUAUUAUUUUACGUUUGUCAUCAUAUAUUAUUUCAUCGACUUAGUCAUUGCAGGCAAUUGUUGCGCAUUUAUGUAAGGUAGGAACAAUAUACGACUUUCAUAUAAUCAUACUUAUCACGAAGUUUCACGAAGUAUAUUUCUUAUUUUUUUUCCUGAUAGAUUUAUUCAAAACUCUAAAGUAUUACACCUAAGCGAUGAUUUCACUCGAUGAUCUUGAAGUCAAAUGGACUCCUGCGAGUGACCUACUCUCAACCGCAAGGACUCGCGCGUUUGGACCUCGAUCACAAUUGAUCACAUCGCUCUAAAUCCUUCGAGGAUGCGUGACACAUGGGGAUAUCUAAAAGUUACGUAUUUGACGUAUUGUUUAUGCCGGGAAAUGCAGGAGGCAAUUUGCGACGCAUUGAACGCAUUAUCAGCUUAUCAGCCAAGCAUUUAUGGACACACUUCCGACGUCGAACUGCUGGAUAUCUUGCUGUACGUUUAAUUAUACCACAAAAGCGGCAAUGAAAUGAUUAUAAGCGUGAGAAUCGUGACGCUCGCUUCUACGAUUGCCACUUCACGAAGCAUUACAAUGCUUCGUGUGAUGUUUCGAAAAUCGAGGAGUUUUAGCAGAGCCACCUCGAGAUAAAUAAAAUCAAUUACUCGUGGAUCUUGUGCUCCACGAGUACUAUAGUAUACCGACCUCGAUAGUCCUCUACCAGGACUAUGUGACUUUUAGGUAUUUACUAGCAUAUGGCGGCACCUAUGAUGCGGCGGUCGUCGAACAAAUUAGUUUGCCGUACCGACUGUUGGUAGCCUAUCGUGUCCAACAAUACCAAACGAAUCCUAUUCAUUAUCGUCUAUUAUUGGAUUUGCAACUAAUUGCGUAACGCAAUGGUGAGUGGAUCAAAGAACACCGUGAAUGUAUUUUCGCAUGACGAACUUCAUAGCGGCUUAAUUACUAAAUUGAAUCAUUCGGAUGCUACGAUUUAAGCUUAUGCAGUAGUAACGACGAUUUCUGUGUAAAAAUAAAAAAAUAAAAAAAUAAUUGUAAAAGGGAAUAAUAGCUGCGAAGAUGUAUGAAUAAUUAUAUUAAUUUAAGCGAUUGGCGGAUCGAAUUGUUUUGAGCUUUUGAAUAAAUAAUAUAUUAACUUUUACAAGACACAGUUAUUAGCUACAUAGCAACUCGUCAUUAAAUAAAGACUGCAAAUAUUUUAUUGCACAUCUAGUUUGUGGACUACACGGUAUUUGUAUCUAAGUUGGUGGCGCUGUUGUUCCCAUGAAGCAAAUGUGAUACACGCACGGACGGGCACGCUAAUUAGUGAGUCCAUAAACGAGGAUCAAUCGCGAGUUGAAGCGUCUCAGGAGGUUCUUUUCAAAUGAAAGCACGCGAUGGGUGGACUUUACAAUAUCCAUUAGGGAGAGUUCGAAAACGAUAAGAACCACGGGACAAUUCUACGGCAAUUUACCGGCUAUUCUGUCGUUAUAAAUUCGUCGCGACGACCAAUGGGACGGAGUAAAAAGAUACGACGGUUGUAGAAGCGUGGAUCGUCUUGGAUCUAUGGAAACAUCAAACGUGACUUCUAACCAGAGGUAGAUCGAGGUUGGAGCUAACCAAGGACGAAAGCGAUAAAUAUUUCAACAGGUAACCUGGGCUGUUGACCUUGACCAGCAGUCAAAGGAUCGAACCAAGGUGGGGCAACGAAUCAGCGAGCUCUUCUUUGAAAAUGGACGCGUCCAGCGGAUGCUGGGCGUUGUCAACAGAGCGUCACGAGACUGUUUUCCCCAGGAACUGCGCUUCGACAAUCGCGGCGAUAUUCACGCACCGUUGCCGCUUGUAAAAGGCUCCAGGAGCCCGCUCUAAUUAACCAGUAUCCUAAUUGAAAGUUGCGUCGAUAUGGAUCGAAGGAAAGCUCCUCUCGGGUUUCACUUGCGGGAGAACACCGAAAAUCAGACGAAGAUCGAGGAACGCGUAAGUCUAAACAAUUUUAUCGCAGGAUUUAUAAUGAAAGUGGUGUUUAAAUCAUUGCAGGUGAGAGACGAAAAAGGUACUUCCAAUUAAAGUAUCGUGCAGGUAUUGCUUCGGAAUUGUGCCAAAAUGAACCGGAGUAUUUGCAGAUUACACUGUCGAUAAUGUAGAAUACUCGGCCGAUAAUGCAGAUUACUCUGUCGGUAAUGUAGAGUGAUCGGUCGGCAAUGCAGAUUGCUCUGUCGGUAAUGUAGAUUACUCGGCCGGCAAUGCAGAUUGCUCUGUCGGUAAUGUAGAUUGCUCUGUCGGUAAUGUAGAGUACUCGGUCGGUAAUGCAGAUUGCUCUGUCGGUAAUGUAGAGUACUCGGUCGGUAAUGCAGAUUGCUCUGUCGGUAAUGUAGAUUGCUCUGUCGGUAAUGAAAAUUGCUCUGUCGGUAAUGUAGAUUGCUCUGUCGGUAAUGCAGAGUACUCGGCCGGUAAUGUAGAUUGCUCUGUCGGUAAUGUAGAGUACUCAGUCGGUAAUGCAGAUUGCUCUGUCGGUAAUGCAGAGUACUCGGCCGGUAAUGUAGAUUGCUCUGUCGGUAAUGUAGAGUACUCAGUCGGUAAUGCAGAUUGCUCUGUCGGUAAUGCAGAUUGCUCUGUCGGUAAUGUAGAUUGCUCGGUCGGUAAUGCAGAUUGCUCUGUCGGUAAUGUAGAGUACUCGGCCGGUAAUGUAGAUUGCUCUGUCGGUAAUGUAGAGUACUCAGUCGGUAAUGCAGAUUGCUCGGUCGGUAAUGCAGAUUGCUCUGUCGGUAAUGCAGAGUACUCGGUCGGUAAUGUAGAUUGCUCUGUCGGUAAUGCAAAGUACUCGGUCGGUAAUGUAGAUUGCUCUGUCGGUAAUGUAGAUUGCUCUGCCGGUAAUGCAGAGUACUCGGUCGGUAAUGUAGAUUGCUCUGUCGGUAAUGCAGA